AUUGAACGCUGGCGGCAGGCCUAACACAUGCCAGUCGAGCGGAUGAAGGGAGCUUGCUCCUGGAUUCAGCGGCGGACGGGUGAGUAAUGCCUAGGAAUCUGCCUGGUAGUGGGGGAUAACGUCCGGAAACGGGCGCUAAUACCGCAUACGUCCUGAGGGAGAAAGUGGGGGAUCUUCGGACCUCACGCUAUCAGAUGAGCCUAGGUCGGAUUAGCUAGUUGGUGGGGUAAAGGCCUACCAAGGCGACGAUCCGUAACUGGUCUGAGAGUAUGAUCAGUCACACUGGAACUGAGACACGGUCCAGACUCCUACGGGAGGCAGCAGUGGGGAAUAUUGGACAAUGGGCGAAAGCCUGAUCCAGCCAUGCCGCGUGUGAAGAAGGUCUUCGGAUUGUAAAGCACUUUAAGUUGGGAGGAAGGGCAGUAAGUUAAUACCUUGCUGUUUUGACGUUACCAACAGAAUAAGCACCGGCUAACUUCGUG
RNAcentral lists this ribosomal RNA (482 nucleotides) under uncultured bacterium. RNAcentral describes it as "partial 16S ribosomal RNA". It matches the Rfam family "Bacterial small subunit ribosomal RNA", at positions 30 to 507 of the family's 1533-position model. The record is from RNAcentral.